Molecule: ribosomal RNA, 138 nt
Filed under: Microcebus murinus (gray mouse lemur)
Lineage: Eukaryota; Metazoa; Chordata; Mammalia; Primates; Cheirogaleidae
Source: RNAcentral
CUCUAUGGUCAUUCCACCCUGAACGCGCCAGAUCUCAUCUGAUCUCGGAAGCUAAGCAGGGUCAGGCCUCGUAGUACUUGGAUGGGAGACAACUACCUAAUUUAUUUUUUAACAAUUAUACCUAGAUUACUAAUGAAA